AUGACCUUUCUUUGGUGUAUAUGGAAGGCGAGGAAUGAUGUACUUUUUGACAGGAAAGUAGUCAAGCCUAUGCAUGUAUCUCAAGCUAUGCAAGCCAUUCUAAAUAACCGGGAACUAGAUCUCCAACUACUUCAAAUAGGGCAGGGUAUUUCUCAGAUAGAGCAUAAGGAGAAUCUUCUCAUAAACUCAAACCAGCAGGGUCAUGUAGGUAUUAUGCAAGCUACUGGGUCAAGUUGCAGAGUCUUCACAGAUGCGGCGUGGAAAGCAGAAAGACAAAAUAUCACAGGUAUUGGAAUUUACAUAGAAUUGGCUAAGGAACAUCAGCAGGUAAACAUUAGCAUUCUUGUGUCCGAGAAGCCCAUCCAUUCUCCUCUCGAGGCAGAAGCUAUGGCACUACAGGUGGCUGCACAAGUGCUCUCUACAGUUGCAGCAGGAGACAUCAUAUUCUUCACAGAUAGUCAGGUUUUGGCUCAGGCUGCACAAGCGAGGGACAUUCUUAAAAGGCCAGGUCAUUGGGAGAUUAGAAAUCCACUGGCAAAUUUUUUUGCCACCACUAGCCGCACCCAAAUAGCUAUCUAUCAUAUUCCCAGGGAGUUUAAUAGCAGGGCACACAAUAAUGCUGCUAAAGCUUACUCUUUAGAACAUAAUAUUAGCCCUCAAAUGGCUUGUAAUAACAAGACUCAUUUAGUUGAUCACUGUCCUAUGCUUUUGAAGCUAGGCAAUCUAAACAUCAGUCAUUGUAAAAUCAUGGAUGUAUCAUGUUCUUCAGAUUAA
Molecule: ribosomal RNA, 774 nt
Filed under: Triticum aestivum (bread wheat)
Lineage: Eukaryota; Viridiplantae; Streptophyta; Magnoliopsida; Poales; Poaceae
Description: partial small subunit ribosomal RNA
Source: RNAcentral